This 493-nucleotide ribosomal RNA is filed under the name Pseudomonas sp. RNAcentral describes it as "bacterial SSU rRNA". It matches the Rfam family "Bacterial small subunit ribosomal RNA", at positions 22 to 510 of the family's 1533-position model. Lineage: Bacteria; Pseudomonadati; Pseudomonadota; Gammaproteobacteria; Pseudomonadales; Pseudomonadaceae. The record is from RNAcentral.
GCUCAGAUUGAACGCUGGCGGCAGGCCUAACACAUGCAAGUCGAGCGGAUGAAGGGAGCUUGCUCCUGAAUUCAGCGGCGGACGGGUGAGUAAUGCCUAGGAAUCUGCCUGGUAGUGGGGGACAACGUUUCGAAAGGAACGCUAAUACCGCAUACGUCCUACGGGAGAAAGCAGGGGACCUUCGGGCCUUGCGCUAUCAGAUGAGCCUAGGUCGGAUUAGCUAGUUGGUGAGGUAAUGGCUCACCAAGGCGACGAUCCGUAACUGGUCUGAGAGGAUGAUCAGUCACACUGGAACUGAGACACGGUCCAGACUCCUACGGGAGGCAGCAGUGGGGAAUAUUGGACAAUGGGCGAAAGCCUGAUCCAGCCAUGCCGCGUGUGUGAAGAAGGUCUUCGGAUUGUAAAGCACUUUAAGUNNNAGGAAGGGUUGUAGAUUAAUACUCUGCANAUUUUGACGUUACCGACAGAAUAAGCACCGGCUAACUCUGUGCCA